Molecule: long non-coding RNA, 1007 nt
Filed under: Strigops habroptila (Kakapo)
Lineage: Eukaryota; Metazoa; Chordata; Aves; Psittaciformes; Psittacidae
Description: lncRNA (ENSSHBG00005012553.1)
Source: RNAcentral
AAGCCCCUGGCGAUGCUGCAGAGACCGUCGAGGCGAGGGAGAACAGGGCUUCGAAAGCCCAGGAAGGAAUAAUUGCCACCGGCUCUGCCCCACAGAAUAGCCCCGCGGGGAUGGAGGUUUAGUACCGAAUGCCAUCAUGUUUAAAGCAAUACCGACAGAGGACCGGCUUACUUUGCAGGAGGCCCCACAGUGCAGGGGCUGGCGGUCUGCCAGCACCGGGAGGAGGUUUUCCGGGCUGGGACACGUCUCAGCUGAGCUGUAGCCAUACGUGAGAACGCCCAGACACCCUUUCAGAAACCGUACAGUGGCUUUCCAUGGGGUGCAGAGCUGGAACCGGGGCUUCGUCUGCAGAUUGGGGCUGGCUUUUGGGUGGCAUGUGGCUCUGGAUCACGAAAAGCUGACUCUGAUACCAGAGCUAAUUUAGAAACAAAUGCAGAACGUCCCUGCAUACUUCCCCCCCCGCCUUAGUUUUAGCUAACAGAAACUGCUGGUCAUAUAACUAUGAUGGAGAUGGAUUGAGAUUAAUCUGUUUCAACCCAGAUGUGGCUGGACUGAAAUAGUGAGUAAAAAUAAAAUCAUCCUGUAAAUAAGAUGUUGAAAAUGGAAGAAUUGGGCAUCUGGAGCAAUAAAUGGUGUAAUUACUUAAGUACAGUGCUGAGCCUCUCUCUCUGCUGGCUAGAAAAAAACGUGGUGUUGAGGCUCUAAUCAGUGGAAAAAUGAACAUGUUGAAAUGGUUCUGCCAGAAAAUAGAAAUCCAGUUCCCUUCAAGAACAGCAGUGAAGUACAAAUGAAAAACAAGAUGAUUAAAAUGGAUGGAUUUAAAUAAGGGGUUUCUGCUGGCAGAGCUACAUGAGGAUUAAAAUCUGAUUUAAAUCAAUCCAGUUUUGAGCGUAAAGCAAGUGUGGUUUGGUUCCUCUCAGAGGGUUUCUUUUAAAUUGAACUUAAGCUGACCGUUGUAACAGCCAAGCUGCUUCUGAGCUUCAUUAAACCUCCUGUUACCUACGGAA